This is a long non-coding RNA of Beta vulgaris subsp. vulgaris (sugar beet), 2190 nucleotides long. RefSeq lists it as uncharacterized. The transcript has 10 exons. The record is from RefSeq and is a predicted model, not a curated record. NCBI's taxonomy places the organism in Eukaryota, Viridiplantae, Streptophyta, Magnoliopsida, Caryophyllales, Amaranthaceae.
UAAUAUUCGACCCUCCUUAAUCCUCAUCAGUCCUUUGACUCCUUUCCUCUAUUGUUUUCCCUCGCUCUCUCAAAUGAAACCUCGCACUGUACUCCCCCCUAGUCCAUCCCUACGUCGUCCAUCCUUCCGCCGCAGUUCAAUUGGUUGAAUCAAUCAACCUCGCUGCUCCGCUCCUCAGCGUCGACCUUGUUGUCAACUCCUUCAGGAUCUUCACACUGAAACUGAUCUCAAAUCUCUCGAUGAUCAUCUCUCUGGCAAAUCCUACAUCUCCGGUUUCACUUUGCAUCUGUUCGUUUAAAUGAGUCUGCCCUUGAUGCAAAGCUUAAGACUGCCUCACAUGGGAAGCGCUCCAGGGUGGAUGACCAUGAUGUGGCUGCGGAUUCUAUGGAGGAUAUGGAUGCUGAUAAGAUGAGGUCAAACAAAAGAAGAAAAAGUAUUAUCAACCCAGUACAGCAAGUAGCCUCAGCAGGCGACAAUGAUUCAGUUUUCACAGGUGGUGGUGAUGAAAGCAGUCAACAAGUUGACACAGACGACUAUAGAAAGUUUACAAUUCAGAGGCUAAAGCAAGAGUUCACAGAAAACAAUUUCGGUGAUGAGGUAUUUAAGCUUAUGGCUGGUGCCAAGAAAGAUUUUGUUGCUUUAUAUGAAAAAUGCAUCCUAAACAAGUCCUGAUGACCCAAGUAAUACACGCCAAUAGGUUUGGACAGGAGAUUCGACUGUAGUUAUGUUGCUAUUUUUUUGACUUAGCUGAGUCGACGGGAACUUAGUAAUUCUCUAACUACAAGGGCUGUAUGUUUAUGUUGUUAAAACUUCUGAUAUCUGCAGUUUCAUUUUGGUUUCUGGAGAGACAGAAAAAUGUUUCUUGGAUGAGAGUUUGUGAAGUUUCCUUGUUUGCUUUGAUGUAACUAGUGUAGGUAGAAUGGCAAUUGUAACUACUAUAACAGAUAACCACUGCCGUGUCGCGAUGGUUGUAGAGAUUUUGUUAUCUUGACUAAUGAUUGUAACCGUUCCUUGCUUUUGCAACAAUGAUGAGUUGACCAAGGAUGAUAUCAAGGUGUACUUUGCAGUAUUGGAGAGGCCAGGUGACUCUCUCUUGAAUGCAAGCAAGUGGUACGAGAGGAUUUCCCAACAGCUUGCUGCGAGGGGUCGAUUCCACUCAAAGAAAUCCUAGGGCAUUAACCUUCCUGGGAAGCCGGUCCCUCCCCAUUGUUGCCGCCCUCGAGUAGCCGUUUCUCCUCCUCCUCGAACGCCGGCGACAUUCUCAUCAAAUUUCCAGUCAUACUAUCGAUAUGGAGAUACCCUUAAACCAGAUGUCUGGUUUGAGCCCUCUUAGGUGUGGGAGGUCAAAGCAGCUAACUUGACUAUUAGUCCUGUUCACCGAGCUGCAGUUGGUGAAGUAGAUUCUGGUGGUAGAAAUGUACCGUUCUCAAGCAAACAAUCCGCACCGUAAAAGUAAAAAUGAUUUAGAAAAAGAGGACUGAUACCCUAUUCCAUUCCAUUUAUAAUGAAGCAAGUCUUCUGUUUGAAACUAAUCCUGGUUCAUGAGCAUCUUGUUGGGGACUCAUAAAGAUCAAGGUGUAAUCGUGGUUUAAUUGCACUAAUUUGCUCAAACGUUGAGUGGCGACACACGUAAAACAGAGCCAAUUUACAGCAAAUUGGACAACGAUUUGCUCAAAUUUUGAAGAUGCCUGGUGUUCUGUUUCGUUGAUUGUUUGCUUGCAUUGGAUUAGAGGAAAGUUAAGCAAAUAUUAGAGAGACUAAAGUUUGUUGAUCUACAUCCUACAUAACCAUGCAAAUGGUUUCUUGAGAAAAUUGGUCAUGAAGGUCUGAAUAAUUUAUUGAUGGCCUAUGAAGAUAAAUCAGCAUAUGCUUUAUGUGUAUUCUCUCUUGCCCUCAACCCAAGUGCAGAUCCUAUCACUUUUGUGGGUAAAACUAUGAGGUUGUUGUGGUGUCCUGAGGAGCAGGUUUUGAAUCAAUCUGAUGGUGAUGAUGUUUUUAGGGUGUGACAAUGAUGAUGAAGCUAUUGCAAGGAUGGAGGAAUCACCAUCAGGCAAAAGGGUGACAUGCAUAUUUCUUCCGUUUAGAUUUAUAACUCUUACCUGUUCUUCACGAAACUUUUUGUAUAAUACUAAUUAAGGUAUCGUAAAGGCAUAUGAGAUUUUUUUUGCAAUUAUUAGCUAGUUGUUUAUA